ACUCCUACGGGAGGCAGCAGUAAGGAAUAUUGCGCAAUGGGCGACAGCCUGACGCAGCGACGCCGCGUGGGGGAUGACGGUCUUCGGAUUGUAAACCCCUUUCGGCAGGGAAGAUGGAACGGGUAACCGUUCGGACGGUACCUGCAGAAGCAGCCACGGCUAACUUCGUGCCAGCAGCCGCGGUAAU
RNAcentral lists this ribosomal RNA (187 nucleotides) under uncultured bacterium. RNAcentral describes it as "partial 16S ribosomal RNA". It matches the Rfam family "Bacterial small subunit ribosomal RNA", at positions 335 to 524 of the family's 1533-position model. The record is from RNAcentral.